RNAcentral lists this ribosomal RNA (483 nucleotides) under uncultured bacterium. RNAcentral's name for it is "partial 16S ribosomal RNA". It matches the Rfam family "Bacterial small subunit ribosomal RNA", at positions 30 to 507 of the family's 1533-position model. The record is from RNAcentral.
UUGAACGCUGGCGGCAGGCCUAACACAUGCAAGUCGAGCGGAUGAAGGGAGCUUGCUCCUGGAUUCAGCGGCGGACGGGUGAGUAAUGCCUAGGAAUCUGCCUGGUAGUGGGGGAUAACGUCCGGAAACGGGCGCUAAUACCGCAUACGUCCUGAGGGAGAAAGUGGGGGAUCUUCGGACCUCACGCUAUCAGAUGAGCCUAGGUCGGAUUAGCCAGUUGGUGGGGUAAAGGCCUACCAAGGCGACGAUCCGUAACUGGUCUGAGAGGAUGAUCAGUCACACUGGAACUGAGACACGGUCCAGACUCCUACGGGAGGCAGCAGUGGGGAAUAUUGGACAAUGGGCGAAAGCCUGAUCCAGCCAUGCCGCGUGUGUGAAGAAGGUCUUCGGAUUGUAAAGCACUUUAAGUUGGGAGGAAGGGCAGUAAGUUAAUACCUUGCUGUUUUGACGUUACCAACAGAAUAAGCACCGGCUAACUUCGUG